AUGUAUCCACAUAUGUUACUUAUAUAUGGAUACAUAUAUACACUAAGAGGAGAGCUCAUAGUGAUUUGAAAAGUAUAGGGGAAUAAAGGGAAAGAAAAACAGGAGACAGCUUGUCUAAUCUAGUCUUGAGUAUUUACAGAAAUUAAAAAAUUUUUAAAUUUAAAUAUAUAUAUAUAUAUAUAUAUCAGAUCAAGUAGUUAGUUUUGAUUGGGCUUAUUACAAUGUGUGCUUAUUUAAAGCACACCUUCUUUAUUGCUGUAAUUAGCCCAAGAGAACAGAGAUUUUUCAGGAACACUAGAGAGGCUGAUACAAUGUCAUUUACAUAUUCAUAUAUAUUUUUCAAUGGAUAAGCCUAGGGCUGCUCCAUACCCUCUGAGAGUAAAGUAUCACAAAUAUGGCACCUGCAUAGUGGGGCUCUUCUCAAGGCAGGAUGCCAUCUUUUUAGAUUCAAAACUUAAAUUAGAUCUCCAUGAAAAUCUUGUUGCAGGCAAAGGCAUUUUAGAACAGUUAAAUAGCUAAUAUUUUUGUACUUCAGUAUCACUGUUUUUCUGCCUCUCCCCAAAGAUGAGCCGCUGCCUUAGUUGUUUGAGCUUACCGCCUGUCUUAUAGUGUAGAAAUAUAUAACCAGAGACUCAGCUCUAUUAACUAGCAUGUUGGGUGUUUUUCAAGCAGUGACUGAGAGUGCGUAUGUGUGCGUGCAUGUGCAUAUGGUUCGAAUGCAGUGUCAGGCUUGUUUUCAAACACACUGCCCAAAGUUCUUUGCUUCUGUUUCUGAGAAGCAGGGGUCUAGGAGGGCAGAAUAAUUUCACAGCUCUGAACAGAGGCAGUAUGUUAGUUGUUUUUGGUUGUUUAUGUUCACUCUGUAGUCUCAACCUUUUUUUUCCCAAUUUAUUAUGUUUCUUCAUUCAUUUUAAAAUUUAGGUGGAUUGGCUCUGUGACUAAUAAGCAGAGCUUUUAGUUUUGCACCGGUAUAUUUCAUUUUUGGAAUUGCACAGAUUUCUAUAAACAUCCAGUCAGUUCGCAAAUAAUAUAAAAGGAGUAGUUAGUGGAAAUGUUUCUCUUUAUGCCUUAAGCCUUUAAAGUAACAGGACUUUUGGGAAAGCCAUGAAGGUUUUUGUUUGUUUGUUUUAAUUUUUAAAAGCCAAGUAAGCACUGGGCCUAUGUAUAAAUACUAAUUUUCUGUUUUGAUUUUUUUAAAAUUCCAGUUAGAAUAAUUGGAAUUUUUAGAUCUAAAGAAACAGAAGAAUUGACCAAACUGAAGUAUGGGUGAAUUAAGCAUUUCCCAUUUGACUUAUAUAUUAUAGUUAAUAAUUCCAAGUUCCUUGCCUUAGAGAUGAGGCACGAGAUUCCCUCCCACACACACCUUUAGAGUAUGGGGAGGAGGUUUACACAUAUCUGGGACCUUUAGCAGACAUAGACAUAUGUAUAUACAUACACAUACACAUGCAUGUUCACACUGUGAAUGGUCUGAAUUAUGCAAACCCAACUUCAUAAGGCUGAGAGAUUCACAGUGUUCAAAAGACAUGGUGAACAAGGGUCCAAGAACUUAAGCAGAGUAGUAUUUACCCAGGGUUUAGUAGUAAUUUCAGCUCUUAUGUUUUGACUUGCACUUUUUACUGAUCAAUAACUAUGCAUGUGCACAAAGACAGAUCCUUUCAUAUGGUAUCACUAAGUUAGAGCUUUGGGGUAAUGCAUUCAUGAAGCUCUCCAGUAACUCAUAGCAGCCAGGAGAAGCUCUGGAAGACUUUUUUCCUGAGAAGGAAGUGCUGUUGGGGCAAAGAGUGAACAUGCAGGGAAGGGAGAGAAGAAUUGGCCCUAGAAAAUAUAAGAUUAGUUUAUCCAUACCUUCUUUUACCUUAGAGCUGUGAAAGUAAUGAUCAAAUUGAAGAGUAGUCGGGCAUUUAUAGGGGAAAAAAAUGCACUUUUUUGUGGGGGGGAGGUCAAUGAUCAAGAUGAGAAUGGAGGUUGGGAAAGGACAUUGAUGAAGGUACAUUUUUCCUUUGCAGGGUAAACUGUAAAUUCUGAAUAUUCACUAUAAAUAAAUACCCGGUCACUAUUCCUGGAAAUGUUACUUUGUGGAGAGAAUUUUGAAGUAUGACUUUUCCUUUUUAAUUUUCCCACCAGCUUCUGAGGGUUCAUGGGCAGUAUAUUCCUUCCUGAGGAGUAAGACUUUGAGGUAAUUUUCAGUUUAAGACUGACAUUACCUAACUUAAGAUGUUCUCUCUAUCCCUGUUACGCCCCUGGCCAGAUUCUUACCAAUGGAGGUCGCUGCCCCUCGUGAUUUUAUCUGAUUCUGAGCUCUUUCACUAAGCAACACAUUUGAGUUUCCAAAGCUGAUUCCUAUGCCUUGGGAAUUUAACUGGACACCAGCUGGCAAGAGUGAGAGGCACUCCUUGAAGGUCAUUCCCCAGUGUGGCUGACCAGGGUCAGCGGAAUCCAGUCAAUCAUGACAUUGAUCUCAAAGUCACGUUUAAUGCAUAUGAAAUAACAUAGCAUAUUAAACUCCUGACACUGGGGACAGAACUCUUCGUGCCUUUAUGCAUCCUAGAAAUGAAAUUAAAAAAAAAAAAAAUUUGUAUUUUAUUUCUGUGGGUAGGGCCAGAAAGGCCUUUAACACACUCUUGCUCAUCAGUGUUGCUCAGUCCAAAAAGAGGUUCCAAAUGAGGAUGGCACCUUCCAUAUCCAACAAGCAUCUUUUUUCUGCCUCGUGUUUUAGAAACCUUUUUCUAAAACUGUAAUUGAGAGUUCCAGCAAUGAUACAAGCUGAGAACCUCUAUCAACAGCAUAAAACUUAAUGCUGUGGUUUAGGCAGAAUGAUCUUUGAAUAAAAUAAUAACUUUUCCAUGUUGUUAAUUGGGCUAUACUUGUUGUGACUCAAAAGUAGCUGGCAGAACAAUGCAACAUGUUUUUCCAGGGAACUGGUGGGAAAAGGCAAAGUUUUAGAAAUAAUUUUUUUCCUCAAGCUGAGGUGGCUAAUCCCCCUCCAUCUUCAAAAUUUUCUCCACCCAAUAUUUCAAUUUCAUCUCAGCCCCCAGUGCCAUAUGUCCCCAGCAAAUGGUGAGUGUAAUUAGCAGCAAAGUAGCGAUCUACUCCAGAAGCAUUCUCAAACUCAACUAAGUUAGGGAUACCACACCAUGUCCUGCCUGCCAACACCACCCACUUGGUACAGGAAAGGUCAUUUCCUCGUAAAUUAAGGCAUUCAUAUGAUGGUCCUAUCUUGACUCAAACAAAGAUUAGUGCAGAUAUGGUGAAAGUGUUUAAAGAAUAUUUUGAAUAUUAAGUUUACAUUUUACAAUUGCUUUAUUUUUCAUUAAGAUUGCUGUAUAUAAAUAUUGCCCUCGCUCAUUGUUGUUAAAGUAAACAAAAGUAUGUAGACAGUGAGUUACCUGACAUGUAUAGAAUCUGUGAUAUAUGGAGUACAUUUCUCUAUUGUGUAAAUGUUUAUGAUUAGAACUGUUCCUCUGUGUUUUUAUAGGUUGCAGAUAAUUUGUCGCUUUACGACGACAGAGUUUAUUGCAUUCAAAUGAUUUUUAUGUAAUAGAAAUCAUGCAAACUAGUGAAGGAUU
This 3566-nucleotide long non-coding RNA is filed under the name Sarcophilus harrisii (Tasmanian devil). RNAcentral describes it as "lncRNA (ENSSHAG00000023044.1)". Lineage: Eukaryota; Metazoa; Chordata; Mammalia; Dasyuromorphia; Dasyuridae. The record is from RNAcentral.